This 253-nucleotide ribosomal RNA is filed under the name uncultured bacterium. RNAcentral describes it as "partial 16S ribosomal RNA". It matches the Rfam family "Bacterial small subunit ribosomal RNA", at positions 524 to 776 of the family's 1533-position model. The record is from RNAcentral.
UACGUAGGUGGCAAGCGUCGUCCGGAAUUAUUGGGCGUAAAGCGCGCGCAGGCGGCCUUUUAAGUCUGAUGUGAAAGCUUUCGGCUUAACCGGGGAGGGUCAUUGGAAACUGGGAGGCUUGAGUGCAGAAGAGGAAAGUGGAAUUCCAAGUGUAGCGGUGAAAUGCGUAGAGAUAUGGAGGAACACCAGUGGCGAAGGCGACUCUCUGGUCUGCAACUGACGCUGAGGCACGAAAGCGUGGGGAGCAAACAGG